AAACUUUGCAAUACACGAAAGUGUGACAGGGUCAUCCCGAGUGCCGACCGCUGAGGUUGGCUUUUACCCAGUCUAGAAAGCUGGGGGAAUAAGGAGAGGGCAAGUCUGGUGUCAGCCGCCGCGGUAAUACCAGCUCUCCGAGUGGUGUGGACGUUUAUUGGGCCUAAAGCAUCCGUAGCUGGCUGAACAAGUCCCCUGUUAAACCCACCGAUUUAAUCGUUGGUGUGCGGGGGAUACUGCUCGGCUAGGGGACGAGAGAGGCAGACGGUAUUCCCGGGGUAGGGGUGAAAUCCUAUAAUCCCGAGAAGACCACCAGUGGCGAAGGCUGUCUGCUAGAACGCGCCCGACGGUGAGGGAUGAAAGCUGGGGGAGCGAACCGG
This 380-nucleotide ribosomal RNA is filed under the name uncultured archaeon. RNAcentral describes it as "bacterial SSU rRNA". It matches the Rfam family "Archaeal small subunit ribosomal RNA", at positions 345 to 727 of the family's 1478-position model. The record is from RNAcentral.